This 265-nucleotide ribosomal RNA is filed under the name uncultured archaeon. Its description in RNAcentral is "partial 16S ribosomal RNA". It matches the Rfam family "Archaeal small subunit ribosomal RNA", at positions 718 to 982 of the family's 1478-position model. The record is from RNAcentral.
AGUCACUGACAUUAGACUACCCCGGUAGUCCCAGCCGUAAACUAUGCGCGUUAGGUGUACUGGUGACCACGAGUCGACCGGGUGCCGAAGGGAAACCGUGAAACGUGCCGCCUGGGAAGUACGGUCGCAAGGCUGAAACUUAAAGGAAUUGGCGGGGAGCACCACAACGGGUGGAGCCUGCGGUUUAAUUGGACUCAACGCCGGAAAUCUCACCGGAUAGGACAGACAUAUGAUAGUCGGGCUGAAGACUCUACUUGAUGAUCUG